UGCCUGGUAGCGGGGGAUAACUAUUGGAAACGAUAGCUAAUACCGCAUAACAGUAGAUAUCGCAUGAUAGCUGCUUGAAAGGUGCAACUGCACCACUACCAGAUGGACCUGCGUUGUAUUAGCUAGUUGGUGAGGUAACGGCUCACCAAGGCAACGAUACAUAGCCGACCUGAGAGGGUGAUCGGCCACACUGGGACUGAGACACGGCCCAG
RNAcentral lists this ribosomal RNA (212 nucleotides) under uncultured bacterium. RNAcentral describes it as "partial 16S ribosomal RNA". It matches the Rfam family "Bacterial small subunit ribosomal RNA", at positions 127 to 334 of the family's 1533-position model. The record is from RNAcentral.